CCUACGGGAGGCAGCAGUGGGGAAUAUUGGGCAAUGGGCGCAAGCCUGACCCAGAAACGCCGCGUGAAAGAAGAAGGCUUUCGGGUUGUAAACUUCUUUUCUCAGGGACGAAGCAAGUGACGGUACCUGAGGAAUAAGCCACGGCUAACUACGUGCCAGCAGCCGCGGUAAUACGUAGGUGGCAAGCGUUAUCCGGAUUUACUGGGUGUAAAGGGCGUGUAGGCGGGAAAGCAAGUCAGAUGUGAAAACCAUGGGCUCAACCUGUGGCCUGCAUUUGAAACUGUUUUUCUUGAGUACUGGGGAGGCAGACGGAAUUCCUAGUGUAGCGGUGAAAUGCGUAGAUAUUAGGAGGAACACCAGUGGCGAAGGCGGUCUGCUGGACAGCAACUGACGCUGAGGCGCGAAAGCGUGGGGAGCAAACAGGAUUAGAUACCCGAGUAGUC
RNAcentral lists this ribosomal RNA (443 nucleotides) under uncultured bacterium. RNAcentral's name for it is "partial 16S ribosomal RNA". It matches the Rfam family "Bacterial small subunit ribosomal RNA", at positions 338 to 795 of the family's 1533-position model. The record is from RNAcentral.